UUGAUAGUGUGAUUUAGUGAUUUAGUGAUUCCUACUUACUAUUUCUAGUACUUAUCCUGGAAAUGGAAAAUGUGAAUAUGAAAUAUUAAAUAAAAAUGACAAUUAUUUAGUUUGUUAUAAGUGUUAUUGUUAUAGUAUUUAAUUUAAAUAAAUUAUAUGACAUUUUUUUAUAGUUUACUUGUUUGUGUUCAUUUAUUUAUUAAGUUUUGAAUAUUGUGUACACUAAUACUCUAUACAUUUUUUAGUCAUGAAUUAGUGUUGACUUUAACAACAAACAUCAAAAUGAGCGAAAAAUCAUUCAAAACUGUUAAAGCUAAAUUGCUAGAAUGCAACAGGUUACCAGAACCAAUAAAGGACAUAUUAAAAAUAACGGACAAUAAUUCAUUAAAAGAUAUAGAUGAAAACAAUUUCAAUCAGUUAUGGAUUUUGAUAUAUGAUUUUAUUAAAGAAGCUACAGUUCUUGAAAAUAUUACACAUGAUGUAGAGCUAUUGUUAUGCUAUCAAUCUGUUUUAAACCUUGUCAACUAUACAAUAACUUGCGCUGAUGAAGACAUAAUAAGGGUAUAUGAACAUAAUUAUGUACAUAAAACCAUACUGGUUUUUCAAACUUUUUACUCUACAAAUCUCAAAUUUAAGUUCAAAUUAGAUAUUGCAAAAAUGUGCUGUAGCUACUGGCAAUUACAAACUUCUUCACCAGCACAAAAUGGAUCUGAGAAUGUAUACAAUUUUGAUAUGAUUUUAACUAAAAAUUUUGUUUUUACUUUUAAUUAUUUAUUUGAUACUAUUAAAGUGACUACAAAAAAAAAUGGAUAUGAAAAUAUUAUCUGCUGUAUUGUGGGAAUUUUGCAAAGUUGUGAGAAAUUUAUCGUCUAAUAUAAAUGGAUUGAAUUUAAUUGUUCCCAAUUUAAAAAAAUUGAUGAAGUGCCCAAUGUUUUUGGAAGUUGACACAGGAAAAUUGACAAUAGCAGAUAUAUUUACAUGUAGUCAACAACUAUUUCUCGUAAUAUUUUAAAAAUUUCAUCAAGCAGUUAAACAAAAUUUACCAAAAGCCAACAAGGUAGAAGCUGAAGCAUAUGGAGAAAUAUAUUUUAUGGCUUGGAUAAAUUCUAACUCGUCCAUAAGAGAAGU
Molecule: RNA transcript, 1128 nt
Organism: Myzus persicae (green peach aphid)
Lineage: Eukaryota; Metazoa; Arthropoda; Insecta; Hemiptera; Aphididae
Exons: 5
Source: RefSeq, a predicted model, not a curated record